This 399-nucleotide ribosomal RNA is filed under the name Klebsiella oxytoca. Its description in RNAcentral is "bacterial SSU rRNA". It matches the Rfam family "Bacterial small subunit ribosomal RNA", at positions 38 to 432 of the family's 1533-position model. Lineage: Bacteria; Pseudomonadati; Pseudomonadota; Gammaproteobacteria; Enterobacterales; Enterobacteriaceae. The record is from RNAcentral.
GGGCUAGGCGGCGGCCUACCAUGGCAGUCGAACGGUAGCACAGAGAGCUUGCUCUCGGGUGACGAGUGGCGGACGGGUGAGUAAUGUCUGGGAAACUGCCUGAUGGAGGGGGAUAACUACUGGAAACGGUAGCUAAUACCGCAUAACGUCGCAAGACCAAAGAGGGGGACCUUCGGGCCUCUUGCCAUCAGAUGUGCCCAGAUGGGAUUAGCUAGUAGGUGGGGUAACGGCUCACCUAGGCGACGAUCCCUAGCUGGUCUGAGAGGAUGACCAGCCACACUGGAACUGAGACACGGUCCAGACUCCUACGGGAGGCAGCAGUGGGGAAUAUUGCACAAUGGGCGCAAGCCUGAUGCAGCCAUGCCGCGUGUAUGAAGAAGGCCUUCGGGUUGUAAAGUA